Molecule: ribosomal RNA, 253 nt
Filed under: uncultured bacterium
Lineage: Bacteria
Description: partial 16S ribosomal RNA
Rfam family: Bacterial small subunit ribosomal RNA
Source: RNAcentral
UACAGAGGUCCCAAGCGUUGUUCGGAUUCACUGGGCGUAAAGGGUGCGUAGGUGGCUGGGAAAGUUUGAUGUGAAAGCUCGGAGCUUAACUCCGAAAUGGCAUUGAAUACUUCCUAGCUUGAGGGUCGGAGGGGAGACUGGAAUUCUCGGUGUAGCAGUGAAGUGCGUAGAUAUCGAGAGGAACACCAGUGGCGAAGGCGAGUCUCUGGACGACUCCUGACACUGAGGCACGAAAGCUAGGGGAGCAAACAGG